AUGAAAGGAGUUCAGAUUACUAUUCCUAUUCUUGAAGUCGUCUUCCAUGUUCCGAUGUAUGCCAAAUAUUUCAAGGAAUUAUUAACAAAGAAAAGAAGCAUGUCUGAGCCAGAAGUUGUAACUCUAUCAAAGGAAUGCAGUGCAAGAAUUCAGAAUUCCAUGCCUGAAAAAUUGGAUGAUCCAGGAAGUUUUUGUGUACCAUGUGUGAUUGGAAACAAAACUUACAGUGCUCUAUGUGACUUGGGCUCAAGUGUUAGUGUGUUACCACAUUCAGUCAGCAAAAGGAUGUUCUUGGGAGAAUUAAAUCCAACAUCCAUAACUCUUCAGUUAGUCGACAGAACAUACAGGAGACCUGUUGGAAUUCUUGAGGAUGUUCCAAUCAAAGUUGGGAAGUUUGCUUAUCCGGUUGACUUUGUAGUGCUAGAUAUGGAGGACAAGAGUGAGGCCGUGAUUCUUGGAAGACCAUUUUUGGCCACAGCUGGUGCACUUAUUGAUGUCCAAGGAGCUAAAUUGAGCUUGAGGUUCGGAAAUGAAAAGGUGGAGUUUGACAUGAAGCAUGCAACACAUGUUCCGCAAAGAGAAGAACACUGCUACAGAAUUGAUACAUUACAGAAAUGUGUGGAAGAAGGUUAUGAAGAGAGGUAUGGAAGUAAUUGUUGUGCGGUAGUUGAGGAGGACAAUAGUGAAAUUAGAUGA
This 696-nucleotide ribosomal RNA is filed under the name Triticum aestivum (bread wheat). Its description in RNAcentral is "partial small subunit ribosomal RNA". The record is from RNAcentral. Lineage: Eukaryota; Viridiplantae; Streptophyta; Magnoliopsida; Poales; Poaceae.